This 1350-nucleotide unclassified non-coding RNA is filed under the name Leishmania donovani. RNAcentral's name for it is "gene:LdHU3.09.0870(CDS-product:hypothetical_prote in_conserved)". Lineage: Eukaryota; Euglenozoa; Kinetoplastea; Trypanosomatida; Trypanosomatidae. The record is from RNAcentral.
AAGAAGCGAACAACAGACGAUCCCCUGCACAGGCGCGGGCCGAAUGUUUCCGCAAGGGCUGAUCGAUCAAUGGCUGAGCAAAUCACGUGAUGGCCGCCGCAGCGUGCGAGAGGACCGGAAAGCAACGCCAGCCAUCCUGGACAACAUCGACCGCCUCGAGGAGUACUGCCGUAGCCACCCCUACGACGUGUUCUGUGCGAGCACGUUGCAACAUCCACCCUUUGCCCUCCACGCACUGGAGAGCGAAGCGGCGGAGCAGCAGCGGCUCGCACAGCCGCCGCCGGUGUUCGCAGCGACCGUCCCCUCGCCCUCUGCUCACACGACGGCCUCCAAUGAGGUGAGGGGCGGCGUCUGUGGGCGGUACGCAGACGGAGACGAAUCUCGCGCGUCGGUGGCGGCUGCUCGUCAACAUCUGCACAACGUCGCUGCGCGACUCGCCGCGUAUCUGCAGUCUAGCGGCGCGGUGAGGAGUUCGGCAAGCCGGCAUAAGGAAGAGUCGCAGUGCACCGUUGUGGCAGACUUCUUUGUGCACUUGCUGUCGGAGGCGGCGGUGGCUGCCGUGUACCGGCAGGGUAUCGCCGCGCAGGUGGAGGCCGAGGAGCGGGCGGCCUUUCAGCAUCGUCAGUCACGGCGACGGUUGCAACUGCGCGUUGACAGUAAGCACGACGGUACUCUGGAGCGUCUGGAGUUGUCAGACAGUAAGGGAGCAGGCACCGAGGCCGUCCAUGAAGUCGAGGGUCUAACGGUGGUGCGGCCCAUUGCUGACUACCGGCGCCUGAGUCAGGGGCUCGCUUCGCUGUGGAGUUUGCUGGCACAAACGGAGCGACGUGGUGGACUGGCGGCCGGCGGACCACCUUCGAAAAAACGCAGCCGCGAGAGCACCGUCGAUACCGGCUCGGUGAACGACAACGACAACCUGUGGACGCGCGUGCGUGUGGACUGUCUGCGCCACUGGCUUGGCGACCGCGGCCUUCCACCCCCGCCGCCUCUUCAGGGCACCGCAGCGUUGGGGGAGUCUCAACGAAAGACAGAGGCAUCGUCGCCAGCGAUGCCGGGUGGCGCGUGGUGGAGUCGGCCGCUCUACAUCUCCGAGCGCGAUGUAGAGUUUGCCCUGCGCAAGGUGCUCGCGGACGUCACAGCAUCCACAGCCUCGUAAGGUGUCUGCUGGGACCUAUCCAAACACAAACACUCGAAUAAAAACUCUUUGAUUCGGGCCCAAAGCAGCCGCAAGAGCAGCAACUGCCAUUGCCUGCCACACCUGCCCCCUCAUGCGCGCUAGCACUGGAGACGGCGUCAUGUCUACUCCUGUCAGUCCCGUCUCACGCCUCUCCACCGUUUCGUCUGGCACAG